CAUGUGACUCCACCUAACCGCAAAGGAGGCUGGGACGUGUCAAGCUAGGCAGCUGUGGCCCCGGCUACCAUGUUGUUACUCUGGAAAGAGAAGGAAAUGGACUCAGGACAAGGGUUGUGGCCCGGAGACCCAGUGGACCGGAAGAGCCCAAUUAGGAGGCGAUCAAGACCCCACCUGUUCCUACUUUCCUGCAGAAAAACAACUAGGUGAUUAAAAAUGGAAUAUCAUCCAGAAAGCCUUCUACAAGUCGGGGCAUUGUGGGCACAACUGCGUUAGCGGUUGAUUCCUUUAACAGAUGAUUCCUAUUUUCACCCAAUGCAUACAUGACUUAAAGUCUAUUUAUUGAACAAUUAUAGGCCAAAAAUACUGCUGAUGCAAAUGAGUAUUAUUAAACACUGUAGGAUUUGCCAAACAACCCACAACAAAUUAAAUUGCUAAUAACGAGCUCAACAGCGAUUUAUCAUCAGCUAAGCAAAAAGAGCAGCAGUUGAAAACCGUGGCCGAUUCAAGAUACCACGAAGACAAAAUGCUCCCCCAGGAAAUCAUGGAAAAUGUAGACUAUCGGUGUACCCUUGUGUGCGAUGCUGUGUUGUUUGUCAGCCGGGCUUCUAGGUGGAAUACUAAAACAGAGUGCUCAAAGCAUUACGGUGAUGCUAAAAUUCCGUGGCAAUUGGGCGCUGGAAGGACAAUCGCCCCGAGACUCUGAGUGAUGUGUAUAGUUUCCCUGGGAGCCCUCCAGGCGGAAAAAACAACCGGGCCCUGGAAUUAGGAGAAGAUUGUUCUGGUAGAGUUAGGAGGGAGAGAAGGAAGGGCAUCAGGAAGAAAUUUAGCUUUCAGAAUGGCUAACCAAAUGCUACAAUUACCCAAGAAGCAUUAAGAAAGUAAAGAGUUUAGAGCAAA
Non-coding RNA from Microcebus murinus (gray mouse lemur), 900 nucleotides. The record is from RefSeq and is a predicted model, not a curated record. NCBI's taxonomy places the organism in Eukaryota, Metazoa, Chordata, Mammalia, Primates, Cheirogaleidae.